RNAcentral lists this ribosomal RNA (253 nucleotides) under uncultured bacterium. Its description in RNAcentral is "partial 16S ribosomal RNA". It matches the Rfam family "Bacterial small subunit ribosomal RNA", at positions 524 to 776 of the family's 1533-position model. The record is from RNAcentral.
UACGUAGGGUGCGAGCGUUAAUCGGAAUUACUGGGCGUAAAGCGUGCGCAGGCGGUUCGUUAAGUUCGUUGUGAAAGCCCCGGGCUCAACCUGGGAACUGCAAUGGAAACUGGUCAGCUGGAGUGUGGCAGAGGGGGGUGGAAUUCCGCGUGUAGCAGUGAAAUGCGUAGAGAUGCGGAGGAACACCGAUGGCGAAGGCAGCCCCCUGGGCCAACACUGACGCUCAGGCACGAAAGCGUGGGGAGCAAACAGG